GCAGAUUCUUCUUCCUGACAUCGAGACAUUCGAUAAAAGCCGGCGCCGAGCAGCCAAGAAUCUCUUGGGACACAACUGUACACUCCCUGCUCGCUUCCGUUGAUCUCCGGACUCACGAGAGCGAGAGCUCGAGGUGGAUGGCGGCCAUGGCGGCGCCCCACUGCGCGUCGACUUCCUCAGCGUUCCUCGGCCUCCCGCAAGGCAACGGCGGGCGGCGCCAGGGCAAUUCAUGCCGCUUCGUCGCCAACGCCAGGUUGGCGACGGUGUCCGCCACGCUGGACAAGGAGACCGCGGCGGCGAAGCCCAGAAAAUCCCGGAACCGCCGGUCCAGGAAGGCGACCAAGUCCGAGUCCACGGCGCUGCUCGCCCCGGACGAGCCCGCGGAGGCCAAGAUCGGUGGAGCCCCCGAAGCCGAGGAGGUGGCGAAAGGCGCCGGCGGCAGGGGGAUGGUAGCACUGGACGACGUGAUCGUGAACCCGGUGGGACUCGGCCGGCGCUCCCGGCAGGUGUUCGACGAGGUGUGGCGCAAGUUCUCGCGGCUCGGCCAGAUGUCCAGCGCCUCCUCCGCCGCUGUGGCCGAGCAGGACCCCGCCGUCCUCUUCCGCGGCGGGCCCAUGUGCGAGUUCACCGUGCCCGGCGCGCAAGACACCACCGUCCUCGUCGUCGGCGCCACCAGCCGCAUCGGCCGGAUCGUCGUCCGCAAGCUCAUGCUCCGCGGAUACAACGUCAAGGCAUUAGUUAGGAGGAAUGAUCCGGAAGUGAUCGACAUGCUUCCAAGGUCUGUGGACGUCGUGGUUGGCGAUGUCGGUGAUCCUUCUUCAGUUCAGGCUGCUGUUUCAGGUUGCAACAAGGUAAUUUACUGCGCUACCGCACGGUCGACUAUCACCGGAGACCUCAACAGGGUUGAUAACCAAGGAGUAAGGAACGUUACCAAGGCUUUCCAGGAUUACUACAAUCAGCUGGCCCAGUCAAGGGCUGGUAAAAGCAGCAAGAGCAAACUGACUAUUGCAAAAUUUAAAUCCGCCAAAUCUUUGAAAGGAUGGGAGGUGCGGCAGGGAUCAUACUUUCAGGAUAUCUACCCUUCUAGAUUCGAUGGAGGCACCGAUGCGUCAUUUGAAUAUUCAGAAAGUGGACAGGCUGUUUUCUCAGGAUUUGUUUUCACAAGGGGUGGCUACGUUGAAAUGUCUAAACGGCUUUCGCUUCCUCUGGGUUCCACCCUAGACAGGUAUGAUGGAUUGCUUCUUUCGGUGGGUGGAAAUGGAAGAUCGUAUGUUAUUAUUCUCGAGACUGGUCCGCUGGCUGACACCUCACAGAGCAAGAAAUAUUUUGCCCGGAUGAACACAAAAGUUGGGUUUUGCAGAGUGAGAGUGCCGUUUUCAGCUUUCCGGCCAGUAAACCCACAGGAUCCUCCAUUGGACCCGUUUCUUGUGCACACCCUAACCAUCAGGUUUGAGCCCAAGAAGCAGAGACCUGGUGAUUCAUCUGAAGGAGCUGCUAGUGACCCCAGAAACUUUGAGCUGAAAAUGGAGUUUAUAAAAGCUUUGCCGAGUGGUCAAGAAACAGACAUUGUGCUGGUCUCAUGCACAGGCUCAGGGAUUGAAGCUAACAGGCGAGAACAAGUCCUCAAAGCGAAGAAGGCUGGAGAGGACGCAUUGAGGAGAUCUGGCCUCGGGUAUACGAUUGUGCGCCCAGGUCCGCUGCAGGAAGAACCUGGGGGUCAGCGCGCCUUGAUCUUCGACCAAGGGAGCAGGAUCUCUCAGGUGACAUGUGGAACACAGUAUACCGCACCGUUUCCUUUGAACUCGCGAUGCAGGGCAUCAGCUGCGCCGAUGUGGCCGACAUCUGCGUGAAAGCGCUGCACGACUCGACAGCAAGGAACAAGAGCUUCGAUGUGUCCUACGAGCAUGUCUCGGAGCAAGGGAAUGAGCUGUAUGAACUUGUGGCUCAUCUACCUGACAAGGCCAACAACUACCUGUCGCCGGCUCUCAGUUCUGGAGAAGAACACCUGAUCUGAUCACCAGUGAGCUGUGACUAUGAGCUAGCACGAGUGAUGCACACACACGACGAGCCGCACCCCCGUAUGCCUUGUGAAGCUUUUCUCUUUGGGCCCCCAUUUUCGGCUAAGAUACCGUGUGGGGUCCACAUUCAGAGGGUAGGACCCUCAUGUCACUCGUCAACAUGAUGUAUCCAAUGCAUAGAAGGAAGAGGACUAGAGGAGCACAAAGGAAGGGACUUUGGAAGGCCAUCCUUUUGUAGAGAGUGUAGUGGCAGCUUCGGAGACUGGGACCCAGAGGCAAUGAUGGAGUGCUCUGGCCCCUGGCCAGGCAUGUUCAUGUACGAUGUUAUUGAACAAUGACAUAUAUAGUCUUUCAGAAGGGGAUCCUUUGAGAUGCCUGAAUCAAUUUUCAUCCUCCAAAUUAA
Molecule: RNA transcript, 2421 nt
Organism: Panicum hallii
Lineage: Eukaryota; Viridiplantae; Streptophyta; Magnoliopsida; Poales; Poaceae
Exons: 13
Source: RefSeq, a predicted model, not a curated record